GACGAACGCUGGCGGCGUGCUUAACACAUGCAAGUCGAACGGAAAGGCCCUGCUUUUGUGGGGUGCUCGAGUGGCGAACGGGUGAGUAACACGUGAGUAACCUGCCCUUGACUUUGGGAUAACUUCAGGAAACUGGGGCUAAUACCGGAUAGGAGCUCCUGCUGCAUGGUGGGGGUUGGAAAGUUUCGGCGGUUGGGGAUGGACUCGCGGCUUAUCAGCUUGUUGGUGGGGUAGUGGCUUACCAAGGCUUUGACGGGUAGCCGGCCUGAGAGGGUGACCGGCCACAUUGGGACUGAGAUACGGCCCAGACUCCUACGGGAGGCAGCAGUGGGGAAUAUUGCACAAUGGGCGGAAGCCUGAUGCAGCAACGCCGCGUGCGGGAUGACGGCCUUCGGGUUGUAAACCGCUUUCGCCUGUGACGAAGCGUGAGUGACGGUAAUGGGUAAAGAAGCACCGGCUAACUACGUGCCAGCAGCCGCGGUGAUACGUAGGGUGCGAGCGUUGUCCGGAUUUAUUGGGCGUAAAGGGCUCGUAGGUGGUUGAUCGCGUCGGAAGUGUAAUCUUGGGGCUUAACCCUGAGCGUGCUUUCGAUACGGGUUGACUUGAGGAAGGUAGGGGAGAAUGGAAUUCCUGGUGGAGCGGUGGAAUGCGCAGAUAUCAGGAGGAACACCAGUGGCGAAGGCGGUUCUCUGGGCCUUUCCUGGCGCUGAGGAGCGAAAGCGUGGGGAGCGAACAGGCUUAGAUACCCUGGUAGUCCACGCUGUAAACGGUGGGUACUAGGUGUGGGGUCCAUUCCACGGGUUCCGUGCCGUAGCUAACGCUUUAAGUACCCCGCCUGGGGAGUACGGCCGCAAGGCUAAAACUCAAAGGAAUUGACGGGGCCCCGCACAAGCGGCGGAGCAUGCGGAUUAAUUCGAUGCAACGCGUAGAACCUUACCUGGGUUUGACAUGGAUCGGGAGUGCGCAGAGAUGGGUGUGCCUCUUUUGGGGUCGGUUCACAGGUGAUGCAUGGCUGUCGUCAGCUCGUGUCGUGAGAUGUUGGGUUAAGUCCCGCAACGAGCGCAACCCUUGUUCACUGUUGCCAGCACGUUAUGGUGGGGACUCAGUGGAGACCGCCGGGGUCAACUCGGAGGAAGGUGGGGAUGACGUCAAGUCAUCAUGCCCCUUAUGUCCAGGGCUUCACGCAUGCUACAAUGGCUGGUACAGAGAGUGGCGAGCCUGUGAGGGUGAGCGAAUCUCGGAAAGCCGGUCUCAGUUCGGAUUGGGGUCUGCAACUCGACCUCAUGAAGUCGGAGUCGCUAGUAAUCGCAGAUCAGCAACGCUGCGGUGAAUACGUUCCCGGG
RNAcentral lists this ribosomal RNA (1343 nucleotides) under uncultured bacterium. RNAcentral's name for it is "16S ribosomal RNA". It matches the Rfam family "Bacterial small subunit ribosomal RNA", at positions 28 to 1378 of the family's 1533-position model. The record is from RNAcentral.